Molecule: ribosomal RNA, 313 nt
Filed under: uncultured eukaryote
Lineage: Eukaryota
Description: partial large subunit ribosomal RNA
Rfam family: Eukaryotic large subunit ribosomal RNA
Source: RNAcentral
AUAUCAAUAAGCGGAGGAAAAGAAACCAACCGGGAUUGCCCUAGUAACGGCGAGUGAAGCGGCAACAGCUCAAAUUUGAAAUCUGGCGUCUUCGACGUCCGAGUUGUAAUUUGCAGAGGAUGCCUCGGAGGGCGUGUCGGUCCAAGUGCCUUGGAACAGGAUGCCGCAGAGGGUGGGAGCCCCGUAUCCGGCCGACGUCGCGCUCCGUGUGAGGCUCCUUCGACGAGUCGAGUUGUUUGGGAAUGCAGCUCUAAGCGGGUGGUAAAUUCCAUCUAAAGCUAAAUACUGGCCAGAGACCGAUAGCGCACAAGUA